Bombyx mori (domestic silkworm) is the source of this 1373-nucleotide long non-coding RNA. RefSeq lists it as uncharacterized. The record is from RefSeq and is a predicted model, not a curated record. The transcript has 3 exons. NCBI's taxonomy places the organism in Eukaryota, Metazoa, Arthropoda, Insecta, Lepidoptera, Bombycidae.
AAUCAAUGGCUUAUGCUGACGGCAGAGCGGAGUAGGCAGCGUGUUGAGCCCGCUCGGGCGCUGGGCGCUGGGCGCUGGGCUGGGCACCACAACAUGGAAUUUAAGACAUCGUUAUCAAGUACGCACCUAAUUACUUAAAGUAAUUUGUCAUUUAGUCGAUACGUCGCGAUAUCUGGCGAUAGGAAUAUUUUGAUAAGCGGGGACAGCUCCGAUAGCGAUCGUGUGUGAUCGAUCACUGAUGGAGAACCUAUAAAUAAACAUCAGUGAGUAGCGCGCGCGGGCUGGCUCGCCGCUGCUCGACACGCACGCUCCUCGUCAAAAUUCAUCAACUUUAUCAAUGCGAGGAUCUAUUAAAGGACUACUGAGACACAUUUUUCAGGAGGGUUAGAACAGAUGAUACGGAGUACCUGCAGCACAUUCGGUCUUCGCGAAGACAGACUUCAGCUCAGCAGAGGUCCAGCGACAAGACCUCCGCGUCAUUCGGAAGUACGCCUGCAAGACUCUUUGAUGACGACGCUGGCGCGACAGUCAGCUCCGUAUCCAAGACGACUGGUGGGACUCAGAUGUUGCCCUCCCAGUCUGGUGACCCAACACGCUGAACGCGGCUGGUGAGCGUGGCAGCACCGACGUCCGGGUGCUGCAGCAUUACUCGCAGCAGAGGUCCACGCUCACAGGGAGGUAAUGUGCACUCAGGCACUAGUGUGUCGGAGGGGUGGACUCGGCGCGUCUCUCCUGGUCGAGCCCGCCCUCCCACUGCACUCAUACAGGGGCCCUCCUGUUGGGUAGUCAUUACGCAAAUUUUAUUGCGAUUACACAAUGUUAUUCUUUCCGAAAGAAGUCAUUCUUGAACAAAAAUUCAGUGCGAAUUUCAUUAGAAUACCUGCGCGAUUUGAAAACCGACACAGCCGCAUCGCUCGCACGAGCUACGAGGACCGCAGCCGCCUCGUCACAUCGUAAUUUUAUUUAGGGAGUGGCGAGUGAACAGAACGAAACAAAACGUCGAUAGUCCAGCCGUGCAGCCGUGUGCGCAGACACACGCCCCCUCCCUGUACUAGCGAUAGGAUGCGCAUUGCGUCAUAACAAUCUAAAAGUCCCACAUGUCACUGUUGCACUGUGUGCAUGCGGGGCGCAAUGCGUGUACAGAAAUGAUUGUAGAACAGAUAAUGUGACGUGUGGUAUCCCUGAGGCGAGUAUUCGGUAGGCACACAGGCUCUGUUACAGGUUUGGGAGCGCCAGUCUGUCUGUCUGUCUGUCUAUCUGUGUGAGUCGCUGGUUAUUACUAGUAGAGGCCGCGACGAUCGAACACAUUAGCUGAAACAAGAAUGUAACCGUUGUUGUUAGUUUGUGUUCUAUUAAAGAAAUUUUAGUUCUUA